UGGAGGGCAAGUCUGGUGCCAGCAGCCGCGGUAAUUCCAGCUCCAAUAGCGUAUAUUAAAGUUGUUGCAGUUAAAAAGCUCGUAGUUGAAUUUCGGGGUCAGUAGGUUGGUCGUGCCACUGGUAUGCACUGGUCUCACUGAUUCCUCCUUCCUGAUGAACCGUAAUGCCAUUAAUUUGGUGUUGCGGGGAAUCUGGACUGUUACUUUGAAAAAAUUAGAGUGUUUAAAGCAGGCUAACGCUUGAAUACAUUAGCAUGGAAUAAUGAAAUAGGACGAUCGAUCCUAUUUUGUUGGUUUCUAGGAUUGACGUAAUGAUUAAUAGGGAUAGUUGGGGGCAUUAGUAUUCAAUUGUCAGAGGUGAAAUUCUUGGAUUUAUUGAAGACUAACUACUGCGAAAGCAUUUGCCAAGGAUGUUUUCAUUAAUCAAGAACGAAAGUUAGGGGAUCGAAGACGAUCAGAUACCGUCGUAGUCUUAACCAUAAACUAUGCCGACUAGGGAUCGGAUGAUGUUAAUUUUUUAAUGACUCAUUCGGCGCCUUACGGGAAACCAAAGUGUUUGGGUUC
Molecule: ribosomal RNA, 564 nt
Filed under: uncultured Glomeromycotina
Lineage: Eukaryota; Fungi; Glomeromycota
Description: SSU rRNA
Rfam family: Eukaryotic small subunit ribosomal RNA
Source: RNAcentral